Molecule: ribosomal RNA, 491 nt
Filed under: uncultured bacterium
Lineage: Bacteria
Description: partial 16S ribosomal RNA
Rfam family: Bacterial small subunit ribosomal RNA
Source: RNAcentral
GUGAACGCUGGCGGUAGGCCUAACACAUGCCAGUCGAACGGCAGCACAGUAAGAGCUUGCUCUUCCGGGUGGCGAGUGGCGGACGGGUGAGGAAUACAUCGGAAUCUACUUUUUCGUGGGGGAUAACGUAGGGAAACUUACGCUAAUACCGCAUACGACCUACGGGUGAAAGCAGGGGAUCUUCGGACCUUGCGCGAUUGAAUGAGCCGAUGUCGGAUUAGCUAGUUGGCGGGGUAAAGGCCCACCAAGGCGACGAUCCGUAGCUGGUCUGAGAGGAUGAUCAGCCACACUGGAACUGAGACACGGUCCAGACUCCUACGGGAGGCAGCAGUGGGGAAUAUUGGACAAUGGGCGCAAGCCUGAUCCAGCCAUACCGCGUGGGUGAAGAAGGCCUUCGGGUUGUAAAGCCCUUUUGUUGGGAAAGAAAAGCAGCAGGUUAAUACCCCGCUGUUCUGACGGUACCCAAAGAAUAAGCACCGGCUAACUUCGUG